AAUACCCUAUAGACUAUGGAUGCUGGAAUGCUCUGUAGCCGAAAGGUCCGCCGCUGUAGGAUGGGUCUGCGGCCGAUUAGGUUGUUGUUGGGGUAACGGCCCAACAAGCCUGUAAUCGGUACGGGUUGUGGGAGCAAGAGCCCGGAGAUGGAUUCUGAGACACGAAUCCAGGCCCUACGGGGCGCAGCAGGCGCGAAAACUUUACAAUGCGGGAAACCGUGAUAAGGGAACUCUGAGUGCCCGUAAAAUCGGGCUGUCCAUCAGUUUAAAUAACUGGUGAAGAAAGGGCCGGGCAAGACCGGUGCCAGCCGCCGCGGUAAUACCGGCGGCUCGAGUGGUGGCCACUAUUACUGGGCUUAAAGCGUUCGUAGCUGGUUUGUUAAGUCUCUGGGGAAAUCUUCCGGCUUAACCGGAAGGCGUCUCAGGGAUACUGGCAGACUAGGGACCGGAAGAGGUGAGAGGUACUCCAGGGGUAGGAGUGAAAUCCUGUAAUCCUUGGGGGACCACCUGUGGCGAGGGCGUCUCACCAGAACGGCUCCGACAGUGAGGGACGAAAGCUGGGGGAGCAAACCGGAUUAGAUACCCGGGUAGUCCCAGCCGUAAACGAUGUGCAUUAGGUGUAUCGGUGACCACGAGUCACCGAGGUGCCGAAGAGAAAUCGUGAAAUGCACCGCCUGGGAAGUACGGUCGCAAGGCUGAAACUUAAAGGAAUUGGCGGGGGAGCA
RNAcentral lists this ribosomal RNA (725 nucleotides) under uncultured archaeon. Its description in RNAcentral is "bacterial SSU rRNA". It matches the Rfam family "Archaeal small subunit ribosomal RNA", at positions 148 to 878 of the family's 1478-position model. The record is from RNAcentral.